RNAcentral lists this long non-coding RNA (234 nucleotides) under Elaeis guineensis (African oil palm). RNAcentral describes it as "long non-coding RNA (EGUI_LNC077785)". Lineage: Eukaryota; Viridiplantae; Streptophyta; Magnoliopsida; Arecales; Arecaceae. The record is from RNAcentral.
AUAUUUGUAUGCAUGAUUUAAAAUUAUUUUGAGAUCAAAAUUUACUCUUUAUUUAAAAAAAAUAGAUCUAAAAAUUUUGAUUUAAGAUCUAAAAUUAGUGUUUGUGCAUGAGAGAUUGGUCAUGAGUAGAUCAAGUUAGGUCCUGUAAUUAGAUUACAUAAAAAAAUUUUUGAUUUGAUUAUAUUGUAUCUAAAUCAAUUAUUAGUUGAUCAAAUCAAGUCAAGUAUUGAUUAG